This 605-nucleotide ribosomal RNA is filed under the name uncultured Sporichthya sp. RNAcentral's name for it is "bacterial SSU rRNA". It matches the Rfam family "Bacterial small subunit ribosomal RNA", at positions 54 to 675 of the family's 1533-position model. Lineage: Bacteria; Bacillati; Actinomycetota; Actinomycetes; Sporichthyales; Sporichthyaceae. The record is from RNAcentral.
CAUGCAAGUCGAGCGGUGAACCACCUUCGGGUGGGGAUCAGCGGCGAACGGGUGAGUAACACGUGGGCAACCUGCCCCUAGCACUGGGAUAACCCCGGGAAACCGGGGCUAAUACCGGAUACGACCUCGAGCGGCAUCACUCGAGGUGGAAAGAUUUAUCGGCUAGGGAUGGGCCCGCGGCCUAUCAGCUUGUUGGUGGGGUAACGGCCUACCAAGGCGACGACGGGUAGCCGGCCUGAGAGGGCGACCGGCCACACUGGGACUGAGACACGGCCCAGACUCCUACGGGAGGCAGCAGUGGGGAAUAUUGCGCAAUGGGCGAAAGCCUGACGCAGCGACGCCGCGUGAGGGACGAAGGCCUUCGGGUCGUAAACCUCUUUCAGUAGGGACGAAGCGAAAGUGACUGUACCUACAGAAGAAGCACCGGCUAACUACGUGCCAGCAGCCGCGGUAAUACAUAGGGUGUAAGCGUUGUCCGGAAUUAUUGGCGUAAAGAGCUCGUAGGUGGUUCGUUACGUCUGCUGUGGAAACUCGGGGCUCAACCCCGAGCCUGCAGUGGAUACGGGCGGACUAGAGUGCGGUAGGGGAGACUGGAAUUCCUGGUG